This 1422-nucleotide long non-coding RNA is filed under the name Anas platyrhynchos platyrhynchos (common mallard). RNAcentral's name for it is "lncRNA (ENSAPLG00000023560.1)". The record is from RNAcentral. Lineage: Eukaryota; Metazoa; Chordata; Aves; Anseriformes; Anatidae.
GGACAACUUUCACAUCUGAGCUCCACUGAGCUCUAAGGCAGAUGGGCAACCAAAGGGCGACUGCUUUGUCAAUAAGUAAACUGCUUAAAAAUGGCAAAUAGUAAUGCAGUUACUGCAGUAUGUUUCUGAUUAAAAUAAAAAAAUGUCCAUUUUGCAUUCCUCAUCCCAAAACCACAUUUAAGUAAUGCCAAGAGAAGCAACAGAGUGAUCUUACAUAGCAAAAACACAAGAAAACCUCCUGGUGCCGAGAGGUUAGUGUCCAAGCUUUCAUACGUAAACAUUGUAAACAGUCACCUCAUUACUGAAAGAAUGACCUAGCCUUCCAUGUCAAAGAAUCCACUGGUAAAAGUUAAAAUCUGUUCCCUUCAUUAAGUGGCCUAAUCACAUUGUGCCUUCUGGCUUGGAAAUAUUGCAGUGGUUUGCUUUUGGGGGAGUCUUUUUUCUUUCUUUUUGUCUUUCUUUCUUUGCUGAAGAGCUUUUGAAACAACGAUUAAAUAAAGGCAAACAGCUGACAAUUCUUUUCUGCCAUCAAAGCAUGGAAAAAUGUAGCCAUCUGCCUUUCUGUGAAUUGUAAGGGGAAGGAGGGGAAAGCUAUGCUAAAUAUCCAAGGAAUGAUGAAGUAAGGCAAGCUGUACGCUCUGAUUUUCUCUAUCAGCAGCAUAACUCAUCCAUCACUAUUACGGUCUGCAGCUGGAGAUAUUGCAGGGCUCUGACAUGAACUGUAGUGGGAGAUGGAAACAUCCUGGCCAAAGGAGGUGGCUGUGUUUCACUGAGAAGACUUCACUGAAAACCUUGGACCUAGCUGGUAGCCUCAAAAUGGAGGCAGCUGUUGAGUCUGCCUGGCCAUGCCAUCCCUAUGGCGUGGCCUGGCAUUCUCAGGUGUGAUCUCCUCAGACCCCAGCAGGUGAUCCAUUUUGGUGGCUGAUCCAUGACAGGCUGCUGGGCAGGAAGAUGAUUUAAAUCCCGCAUUGAAGUGGAGGUAUAAUUCAGGCCAUAUGUCAGGGCUGUGGGUGUAGAAGCGGGUGGGUGAGGGAACAUGGCUGAAGUGGAGAAAUAAGCACUGAGUCAGCAGCAGAGAUGAUUGAAAUUUAUCCAAAACAUAUUGCCUAAGAUUUUGGUAGCACCUCCAGUAUUACUAAUGAGGAGGCUGAGAGGUUUGGAGCUGCACUGACUGGCAGCUGCACUCUCAGAAAGGGACAUGGGGAGACCUUCUCAUCUGUCAGGAUGUCAUUAUUUGCAAUGGAGUCUGACAGCUCUAAGGUUACGUGUGUAUAAAUCAGUCAGGCAGAAGAGGAAGCAAACGGUAAUUUUAUUUUGCAGUGGCACAGGGGAAGAGCAGUCAGCUGCAUAGCCCCUGCUGCCGCUGCCACGUGCUGAGCAAGCAGAUACCAUUCCCAACCCCUUCUGUCCCCCCUCCUGUUU